This 271-nucleotide ribosomal RNA is filed under the name uncultured bacterium. RNAcentral's name for it is "partial 16S ribosomal RNA". It matches the Rfam family "Bacterial small subunit ribosomal RNA", at positions 524 to 794 of the family's 1533-position model. The record is from RNAcentral.
UACGUAGGUGGCAAGCGUUAUCCGGAAUUAUUGGGCGUAAAGCGCACGCAGGUGGCGUGUUAAGUCUGACGUGAAAGCUCCUGGCUUAACUGGGAGAGGUCGUUGGAGACUGGCAGGCUUGAGGUGAGGAGAGGGGUGCAGAAUUCCCGGUGUAGUGGUGGAAUGCGUAGAGAUCGGGGGGAAUACCAGAGGCGAAAGCGGCACCCUGGCCUUGGCCUGACGCUCAGGUGCGAAAGCGUGGGGAGCGAACGGGAUUAGAAACCCGUGUAGU